UGCCAGACUCCUACGGGAGGCAGCAGUGGGGAAUAUUGCACAAUGGGGGAAACCCUGAUGCAGCAACGCCGCGUGAGUGAAGAAGUAUUUCGGUAUGUAAAGCUCUAUCAGCAGGGAAGAAAAUGACGGUACCUGAGUAAGAAGCCCCGGCUAACUACGUGCCAGCAGCCGCGGUAAUACGUAGGGGGCAAGCGUUAUCCGGAUUUACUGGGUGUAAAGGGAGCGUAGACGGCGAUACAAGUCUGAAGUGAAAGCCCGGGGCUCAACCCCGGGACUGCUUUGGAAACUGUGUUGCUGGAGUGCUGGAGAGGCAAGCGGAAUUUCUAGUGUAGCGGUGAAAUGCGUAGAUAUUAGGAAGAACACCAGUGGCGAAGGCGGCUUGCUGGACAGUAACUGACGUUGAGGCUCGAAAGCGUGGGGAGCAAACAGGAUUAGAUACCCUAGUAAG
RNAcentral lists this ribosomal RNA (448 nucleotides) under uncultured bacterium. Its description in RNAcentral is "bacterial SSU rRNA". It matches the Rfam family "Bacterial small subunit ribosomal RNA", at positions 329 to 793 of the family's 1533-position model. The record is from RNAcentral.